AAGGAUAAUAUACGGAAUAUCACYAUCAGGUGAUAAGCGAAUUAACGUGACAUAUUGUAUUCAGUUUUGAAUGCUCAUUCAUUUGAGGAUUCAGAAUGAWUUGUACAUUGAAAACUAGAUAAGUAAGUAUAGAUUUUACCAAGCAAAACCGAGUGACAAGCGUUUAAAAGCUUGAAACAAAAAAUUAUCGCUAGUCGUCAAAUGACGACUCACAUAAUUAAUAACUGGUGAUUUUGGAAAAAAUUGUAUUUCGGUAGACGACAUGAUGUUUUGAAAACGUUUGUCAGUCUAUGAAUCACAAGCAUGAGCGAAGGCGCUUACUGCGCGUAAGUAACUGAGUGAAUGUGAAGUGAUGAAGCCGAAUGCGAACGUUUGCCAAAAUAUCAUAUA
RNAcentral lists this unclassified non-coding RNA (390 nucleotides) under Staphylococcus pseudintermedius. RNAcentral describes it as "16S-23S ribosomal RNA intergenic spacer". The record is from RNAcentral. Lineage: Bacteria; Bacillati; Bacillota; Bacilli; Caryophanales; Staphylococcaceae.